CCUGGGAACUGCGUUNUGAACUGGGUAGCUAGAGUAUGUCAGAGGGGGGUAGAAUUCCACGUGUAGCAGUGAAAUGCGUAGAGAUGUGGAGGAAUACCGAUGGCGAAGGCAGCCCCCUGGGAUAAUACUGACGUUCAUGCUCGAAAGCGUGGGUAGCAAACAGGAUUAGAUACCCUGGUAGUCCACGCCCUAAACGAUGUCGAUUAGCUGUUGGGCAACUUGAUUGCUUAGUAGCGUAGCUAACGCGUGAAAUCGACCGCCUGGGGAGUACGGUCGCAAGAUAAAAACUCAAAGGAAUUGACGGGGACCCGCACAAGCGGUGGAUGAUGUGGAUUAAUUCGAUGCAACGCGAAGAACCUUACCUGGUCUUGACAUGUACGGAAGAACUCAGAGACGAGUUUGUGCCUUCGGGAACCGUAACACAGGUGCUGCAUGGCUGUCGUCAGCUCGUGUCGUGAGAUGUUGGGUUAAGUCCCGCAACGAGCGCAACCCUUGUCAUUAGUUGCCAUCAUUUAGUUGGGCACUCUAAUGAGACCGCCGGUGACAAACCGGAGGAAGGUGGGGAUGACGUCAAGUCCUCAUGGCCCUUAUGACCAGGGCUUCACACGUCAUACAAUGGUCGGUACAGAGGGUAGCCAAGCCGCGAGGUGGAGCCAAUCCCAGAAAACCGAUCGUAGUCCGGCUUGCACUCUGCAACUCGAGUGCAUGAAGUCG
Molecule: ribosomal RNA, 714 nt
Filed under: uncultured bacterium
Lineage: Bacteria
Description: bacterial SSU rRNA
Rfam family: Bacterial small subunit ribosomal RNA
Source: RNAcentral